RNAcentral lists this ribosomal RNA (498 nucleotides) under uncultured bacterium. RNAcentral describes it as "partial 16S ribosomal RNA". It matches the Rfam family "Bacterial small subunit ribosomal RNA", at positions 28 to 507 of the family's 1533-position model. The record is from RNAcentral.
GACGAACGCUGGCGGCGUGCCUAAUACAUGCAAGUCGAACGAGAGCGACCGGUGCUUGCACUGGUCAAUCUAGUGGCGAACGGGUGAGUAACACGUGGGUAACCUGCCCAUCAGAGGGGGAUAACAUUCGGAAACGGAUGCUAAAACCGCAUAGGUCUUCGAACCGCAUGGUUUGAAGAGGAAAAGAGGCGCAAGCUUCUGCUGAUGGGUGGACCCGCGGUGCAUUAGCUAGUUGGUGAGGUAACGGCUCACCAAGGCCGUGAUGCAUAGCCGACCUGAGAGGGUGAUCGGCCACAUUGGGACUGAGACACGGCCCAAACUCCUACGGGAGGCAGCAGUAGGGAAUCUUCCGCAAUGGACGCAAGUCUGACGGAGCAACGCCGCGUGAGUGAAGAAGGUUUUCGGAUCGUAAAACUCUGUUGUUAGAGAAGAAUAAGUGCUAGAGUAACUGUUAGCGCCUUGACGGUAUCUAACCAGAAAGCCACGGCUAACUACGUG